RNAcentral lists this transfer RNA (72 nucleotides) under Loxodonta africana (African savanna elephant). It matches the Rfam family "tRNA". From Rfam's summary of the family: Transfer RNA (tRNA) molecules are approximately 80 nucleotides in length. Their secondary structure includes four short double-helical elements and three loops (D, anti-codon, and T loops). The record is from Rfam by way of RNAcentral. Lineage: Eukaryota; Metazoa; Chordata; Mammalia; Proboscidea; Elephantidae.
GCUUCCAUGGUGUAGAGGUUAGCACUUGUGCUUUACACGCAGAAGAUCCUGGGUUCAAUCCCCAAUGAACCA